Long non-coding RNA from Oncorhynchus keta (chum salmon), 1730 nucleotides. RefSeq lists it as uncharacterized. The record is from RefSeq and is a predicted model, not a curated record. Lineage: Eukaryota; Metazoa; Chordata; Actinopteri; Salmoniformes; Salmonidae. The transcript has 4 exons.
CUGUGGUCACCUGACUGAACCCAACGCCCUGAAGAACUGGCCAUGUUUUACCGUCUAUAAAACCAAUGGCCCUCUGGGCACACUUCACUUACUCUAAAUCUGAACUGUAAAACUGUCCCCUCUCAACUGGGAAACAUAUUCUUUCCUGCUGUUGUAGCAUCUUCCAAUCUCAUCUCUCUCUCUCUCUGAGAAUAAACAUCACAUCCCAGGAAGUAGCUAGGUAACUGUAGAAUAAACAUCACAUCCCAGGAAGUAGCUAGCUAACUGUAGAAUAAACAUCACAUCCCAGGAAGUAGCUAGCUAACUGUAGAAUAAACAUCACAUCCCAGGAAGUAGCUAGCUAACUGUAGAAUAAACAUCACAUCCCAGGAAGUAGCUAGCUAACUGUAGAAUAAACAUCACAUCCCAGGAAGUAGCUAGCUACCUGUAGAAUAAACAUCACAUCCCAGGAAGUAGCUAGCUAACUGUAGAAUAAACAUCACAUCCCAGGAAGUAGCUAGCUAACUGUAGAAUAAACAUCACAUCCCAGGAAGUAGCUAGCUAACUGUAGAAUAAACAUCACAUCCCAGGAAGUAGCUAGGUAACUGUGAAAAUAAACAUCACAUCCCAGGAAGUAGCUAGCUAACGAUUGAAUAAAUAUCACAUCCCAGGAAGUAGCUAGGUAACUGUGAAAAUAAACAUCACAUCCCAGGAAGUAGCUAGCUAACGAUUGAAUAAACAUCACAUCCCAGUGAAGUAGCUAGAUAGCUAACGAUUUAAUAAAUAUCACAUCCCAGGAAGUAGCUAGGUACUCUGUAAAAAUAAACAUCACAUCCCAGGAAGUAGCUAGGUACCUGUAGAAUAAACAUCACAUCCCAGUGAGUAGCUAGCUAGCUGUAGAAUAAAUAUCACAUCCCAGGAAGUAGCUAGCUAACUGUAGAAUAAACAUCACAUCCCAGUGAGUAGCUAGCUAGCUAACGAUUGAAGAAACAUCACAUCACAGGAAGUAGCUAACUAACAAUUGAAUAAACAUCACAUCCCAGUGAGUAGCUAGCUAGCUAACGGUUGAAUAAACAUAAUGAGCGUCAGGUAGUAGCUAGCUAGCUAGCUAAAGGUAGCAGCAUGAGGGACAGGAAGUAGUUAUUUCCUACUGGUGUUGAAUCUGCCAAUCUCAUCUCUUACUCUCCCCUAUUGGUUCACACCGGAUCCUCUGACAUUGUGUCUGUAUUCACAGUGUUGUCUCCUUUCCAUUGGGAUUCACAUCCUCCGUUCUUAUCCUCUUAGGGGUUAACAGGCUAACACUCUGACUCUAUAAUGUUCUACUGUAUAUAAAAACAUCACAACUCUGGGUGCUUGGGGUAAUCUUGAUCAAUCACAGCCCCCUCUAUCCUCUCCCUAUCCCUCUGUUCUCUCUCUAACCUCUGAUGUUAAAGUUGGGCCACUUCUCCUCGGCCGGGACAGUCAGUAGCAGUAGCAUGUCGGUGUCUGCGGUCCAUGUUCGGCUUUAUCCCCGUUCAGUCAUGUCCAUAAGCAUGCAGCUUGUACCACCACACCGUGCAGUGUGUCUCCUGCAGUGUCGUACUGUACUGUGGGUUUUUUGGACGUUGAGAUGUGCUCGGUCUGUGGUGCACAACGCAUGUUGUGGUUUUGGAUGAUGAUAUGAUUGGAUACGACAUGUGCAUUCAUCCUCAGUGUAUCAGUUCUACUGUUAGUCCAUCCGUCUAACCCCCUGACCUCUUAACCUCUGACGU